This 584-nucleotide ribosomal RNA is filed under the name uncultured bacterium. Its description in RNAcentral is "partial 16S ribosomal RNA". It matches the Rfam family "Bacterial small subunit ribosomal RNA", at positions 355 to 1375 of the family's 1533-position model. The record is from RNAcentral.
UGGGGAAUUUUGGACAAUGGGCGAAAGCCUGAUCCAGCAAUGCCGCGUGUGUGAAGAAGGCCUUCGGGUUGUAAAGCACUUUUGUCCGGAAAGAAAUCCUUGGCUCUAAUACAGUCGGGGGAUGACGGUACCGGAAGAAUAAGCACCGGCUAACUACGUGCCAGCAGCCGCGGUAAUACGUAGGGUGCAAGCGUUAAUCGGAAUUACUGGGCGUAAAGCGUGCGCAGGCGGUUUGCUAAGACCGAUGUGAAAUCCCCGGGCUCAACCUGGGAACUGCAUUGGUGACUGGCAGGCUAGAGUAUGGCAGAGGGGGGUAGAAUUCCACGUGUAGCAGUGAAAUGCGUAGAGAUGUGGAGGAAUACCGAUGGCGAAGGCAGCCCCCUGGCAAGUACUGACGCUCAUGCACGAAAGCGUGGGGAGCAAACAGGAUUAGAUACCCUGGUAGUCCACGCCCUAAACGAUGUCAACUAGUUGUUGGGGAUUCAUUUCCUUAGUAACGUAGCUAACGCGUGAAGUUGACCGCCUGGGGAGUACGGUCGCAAGAUUAAAACUCAAAUGAAUUGACGGGGUCAUAGCUGUUUCCU